Haemorhous mexicanus (house finch) is the source of this 5171-nucleotide long non-coding RNA. RefSeq lists it as uncharacterized. The transcript has 2 exons. The record is from RefSeq and is a predicted model, not a curated record. NCBI's taxonomy places the organism in Eukaryota, Metazoa, Chordata, Aves, Passeriformes, Fringillidae.
AGAAGGAUGGGACAAGGGGUAUGUCAUGAUGACUGGUGGAGGGACAAACUGGCAUAUCCUUCACAAUGUGACCUGACUGAACAGAUUUUCUGCUUUCUGGAAAAUUUUACAAGGUAUAAAUAAAAAGUCUGGAAAAACACUGAUGAAAUCAAACCCAGAAGUGAUUAAAAAUGAGGCUGCCAACUUUCUUUCUCACACAGGGCACUGCAGGUUUACCGUGAAGGCAGAGCCAGGGCCAACUUGUGCAUCCCAGGACUACACGAGGACAAAUCUCAAUAUAAAUGGGGAGCCACAACACACAGCAGCCCAUUUCUUAGAGGCAAAUUUGUGGCAACACCCCAAAGAGUUACCCCAGUCAUGCUUGAAACAUUCAGGAGAGUGUUCUGGUGUCCCACCCUGCAGUACUGAAACUGCUUUGCCUGCCCUUGGCACAACCCACUGUGCAGCUGUUGCUGCAGCUGUGUUGGGUGGUUUGAAAAAGCACGAGAGGAAUAUCUGUUCGUGGCACUCCAGCUGUAACACCAACCUGAAAAUAUUGAAUAUUGCCUCUAGGCAGUGACAAGACUGUAGCUGCUCUGCAGACCAGUGAGUGCUGGCAGAACAGGCACGAGCUGUGUCCAUAUCAUCUGCCAGCUGCUGGCUUCUUGUGUGUGGGAUGGAAGUGGAAUACACAUUCCCAGUAACAGGGGGGGUUGGUGGGCAGGGAUACAGUUUGGUAGGCCUUGAAGAUAAAAACCCAGGGGAAAGGAAGCUGCCACUAAAGGAUGCUCUGUGCAUGAAGUCAGCUGCAUUUGCUCCAAAGAGAGGGUAGCUGCAGAAAGAUUGUGCUGUAGUUUGGGCAUCUGCUGGUGAACUGGGGUGUCUACUCCUGAUUUGGGUUGCCCUCAUUCCUGGGCAGAAAGGUGCCAAGCAGUGUAAGGGACAAGAAGAGAGUGUGGGGAGCUUGUUCCAGCUGUGUGAACACUGGGCCCAUGUAAUCAGCUGCAUUAGAACUAACCCAAGUGCAUUUUCCAUUGCUUGUCCAUUGGCACUACUGACUUCUAAAUGUGCUGGAGUCUAAGUUGACCCCAUGAGCUUCUUCUAAUCAAUGGGCAGCUCUCCUCCAUGUCACAUGCCAGUUUUCAAAGAAACAGCAUCACUGAACAUCAUCAUAGAUGUCAUCUUCAUUCCCUUGUCCCUGGAGCCUUCUGACCAGGAGCAUGGCAAUUACUGGAUGCAGUUUAAUUUGCUUGCUUUGGCUUUUACUUCAUUUGGGCUGUGAAGCAGAGGAUUCUUACACAGCAAGGUUAGAUCAGUUCUGCUGACUCCAGGCUUGCUUGAAUUUCUAUAAUGUGCUAAUGCUGUAAACAGGAGUGGUUCUGUCUCACUGCAAACUCUUUGUCAGCUGUGCAAUACUGAGAUUUGUUUGGUAUUAAGUGGGUUACGGGUAUGAUGGGAUGUCACAUGCUGCUGAGGGGGUGGCAGGUUCCUUCCACAUCACCUGACCUGUAGCAGUUUUGGGUGUGACAAAGCAGGUUUGUUUGUUUGUUUGUUGGACAACAAAAAGGUUGUUCACUGAGUCACCCUCUCAAAGAAGUCAAAACUGAGGAUGUCCAAGCAGGUGUUUGCCUUGGAUCCCCAGUGGCACACUUCAAUCUGCACCUCUGUUUAAUAUGCUGGCUCUGGGCUUGUCAUUCUUGUUUUUUCUCUUGGAGUGUAUUUUCAGGAGUGCAUUCAGGCAAGGCACUGAAGUACCAAAUCUAAGGAACCAGGGCAAGCAGGAGGGUGCCUGCUGUGCAAAUAUUUUGGGCAGUGAUGGGGCAUCAGACUGAAAUUUCAACAGAGACAGAAGUGAAAGAGAACAGAGGAGAUUUAGAGAUCUUCCUUUCACAGACCUGCACCUGGUGAAGGGGAAAAAUCUCCAUCUCCUAGGGAUUAUUAGUAUGUUACUGCCCUGUGAUACUUCAUCCCUCUUGGGUUCAAGGCAAUGAUAAGUUCUCUAGAAGUGUAACAUAAAAUCCUGAGAUGUUCAUGGGGAGUGCUAAUUAAAAGAGACAGCAGACUUGCUCAGAGGAUGUGGCUGUCACAGAACACCACAGUUACUAUAGCUGAGCUUUCAAGCAGCUCUUCAACAGUCAAGCUGCUGGCAGAUGACACUUUCCUCCUUCCCAGCCUAAACUCUGCUGGAGAACUGGUGCUGGUUUUCAGUGUCAUGCUCCUUUCCCUUCAGUGAAUUCUGUUCUUGCCAUAAAGCAUUUUACUCAAGCUGAGUGUGGUCACUCACUCUUAGCAAAUCCUGACUCAUAGGGUGGUGUGGGUUGGAAGGGACCUUAAACAUCAUCUCAUUCCAACCCCCUUGCCAUGGCAGGGGCACCUCCCGCUGGAGCAGAGCUUCAUCCAACCUGGCUUUAAACACUGCCAGGGAUGGGUCAUCCAGAGUUCCAAUGCCAUACCAUCCUCACAGCAAAGAAUUUCUUCCUAAUACCGAGUCUAAACCUGCCCUCCAUCCGUUUGAAGCCAUGGCCCCAUGUCCUGUCACUCCACACACUUGUGAAUAGUCCCUGUUGGAGAAGAGGAACACUGAGAAAUGAAAAGAUGGGGCCUUUGCUCACAGUAGGUUACUUGCAUGAUGGAUGGGCUUGAGCUGGUGAAAACUGGGGGCUGCUGGUGUAAGCUUCUGCCUCCUCCAACUCCCUCAAACACCCAUUGUGCUCAGAAUUGCAAUUGCAGGUUCUCUUAGGGCUGGGCAGCUGACACCACAGAAACUGGAGCCGGUGCUGCUCCACCCCCACAUCUGAGGCUGGAACUGUGCUGCAUCUGCACUGGGCAGCCUCCCACCAUGGUUCUGUUGGUUCAGACACUGAGCUCAUGCUGAGGGAACCCUUGCCUCACCUGCCAGAGGAUGGGUUUUGCCAGGCUGAAUGACUGGGAGAUAACAGUCCUUGUGGUGGGGGAGCACAAGGCAGCCUCCCCAGAUCCUCUCCCCACUUCUGGUCUGAAGCCCCUGGCAGGCAGGGUGGGGGCUUUGGGUCAGUCUGUGGUUUCCACAUCCUUUGGCCUCUUUCAAUGCCAGACAAGCAGAAUAUUUCAGGGUUGGUGCAGGUACAGCAAAAAGCCCAGGUCCUGAGUACAGAACUAGAACUGAGGUGACAGAAGGGAAGGGGGCAGGGAGAGCUCAGGUUACAUCUUCUCCUGUACCUGGGGCUCUGUCCCUCUGGGGGAAUGGGGCAGGAAUGCAGCUGAGCUCCGUGGGGCUGAGACCUCACACCCACUUUCUCCAGUAACUCCUUAAAUCUAGCCCCAGCCUUUGGUCCUAAAGCAGCAUCUCCCCCACAGUCCCUUUCUCCCCUCCUGCCUAAGCUGUGUUUUAACACCGGCAUUCAUAUGUAAAGGUGGGAAAUAGGGCCCUUCCCACUUGCCAGGCUUUCUUGGCUCUUAGGCCUGUGUCCUGUUCUUUUCACUAGUGCUUCCCCACCAACUCGAGUUCCCUCCUGCUGGUUCCAGAAAUUAUAUAAAGUUGAAGUAAUUUGAUUUGGGGAACACCUAACAAGUUUCCAGGUAAAUUGUGGAUACUUCAAUGGAAAAUCUCUCUCUAAAUCAUAAAAAGUAUAAACUAUACAACAGUCCUGGCAAUUGCUGUCCUGGGUAUGCUCCCUGUUUAUUCUAUGUCAUAAAAAUCCAGCUUGGGUAUUUUGGGUGCUGUCUCCAAACCACAUUUUCCCUUCGUGCUCUCACCAUCCCUCCCCACUUUUUGGCACAUUGUGAAGGGGUUUUGGUGCCCCAACAGGCAGCCAAAUGUUAGCAAGCCCCUGGCUCUGGCUUUCAGCAGUCCUGCUAGCUGUGGUUAACUGAGCAUUGUUCAGGUCAAAGCCAUUGUACAUCUGGUCUGUGCACACCUUUAAAAAUGUGAACACUUUUUCCAGCUACUGACUGAAGGAUGCCAAGUGUUGGCCUUUUAUACACCAGAGUUUGUAAAAGAGAGAAAGCCAAGAUACCUGGAGCUUGCUAGUUUCCAGGAGGGAGACUAAUCCAAGAAAAUGUCUACUAUUAGGAGAAAAUUACUCUCUUGUUAUUUUUGAAGUACAUAAUGGUAAUAGUUUUCCAUUUACCCUCCUAGGUAGCCCAAGGCAUCCUGCUGCUGCUGAGCCAUCGGGGUUUUUUUCCAAAGAAAAGAAGGAACAAAGGAUGUGGUCCCUGAUAGCUGUCCCAGGGACUGACACAUUGCCCUGCCUGGUGGGGCAGGUACCCAGGAGGGAGAAGAAAUUCAGCUCAGUUCAGCUGCAGGUGAAAGCUGUAGCUUUCCAUGGAAACCACUGGAUUGAUUCUCUACCUUUGGCUACAGGCAUGCUCUCUAAGACAAGCCCUUAUUGGAACUGCAGUGGAAAAGCAGAAUGAUUUAAGGACUCUCAAAUUCUCAUUUCCUUCCAGUCUGAUCCAGUGAGGGACGACAGCUAAAACACCAGGCAGACCUCAGAAACAGAUACAGCUCAAUACAUAGCAAACAUUUUGGUUGGCUCGGAUAUAUUGAAGCAGUUACCUUGUGCUCUCUCUGUAAUCCUGGUUUGUUUGGGGUUUUUUACGUAAGUGCUUUUUUGAAAAGUGAGAAGUGGCAAGGGAGAGGACAGUUUAAUAAAGGUUUAAAAAGGUCCCAAUUCUUCAUUUCUUGAGAAGUGCUACCAUGCUGCUAUUCUUAAUGAAAGGUCAGGCAACUAAAUUGUCCCUGGGAUUCCACUUAAUUACACUCAGAGAUGGAAACUUUGUUGUCACAGACUAAUAAACCAGCAGAUGGCUUUAAGGAAGUCGGUAAGGUGGCAGUUUUAAAUAGAAAACUGCUUGCUUAAAAAUAGAAAAGGCAGUUGAUUUGAGGGAGAUGUUCUGUAAGCAGCAUGUCACUUCUCUGCUGCAGGGCAAGAGAGAUGGUUUUUAGCAGCAUUAGAAAUGUUGAGUUCAUUGUCAGUGUUCAUCCUCUAAGCCCCCAGCUGAAGGGCCUCUAGCUGGAGAUUUCUUACUGAGAAAUCUUCUAGUCUGAUACUCGGCCUGUGAUAACUUGGGUGAUUUUUCUUAAUGCUUGCAAAGCCAUUUAUCCAGGGAUGUAAUUGAAAUCUGGAGAUGCCACAGAACACUGUGACUGUACUGAGACCCAGGCUUGAAAUGUGAAAUAAAUAAAGAUGCUUAAUGGUUUACACCCUUAA